CCGGCGCACGGNUGAGUAACGCGUAUGCAACCUGUCCGUUACAGGGGGAUAGCCCAUGGAAACGUGGAUUAACACUCCAUAAUAUAAUAUAGAGGCAUCUUUGUAUUAUUAAAUAUUCAUAGGUAACGGUUGGGCAUGCGUCCUAUUAGAUAGUUGGGGGGGUAACGGCCCACCAAGUCGAUGAUAGGUAGGGGUUCUGAGAGGAAGGUCCCCCACACUGGUACUGAGACACGGACCAGACUCCUACGGGAGGCAGCAGUGAGGAAUAUUGGUCAAUGGGCGAGAGCCUGAACCAGCCAAGUCGCGUGAGGGAUGACUGCCCUAUGGGUUGUAAACCUCUUUUGUAUGGGGGGAAUAAGCUUUACGAGUAGAGUGAUGACAGUACCAUACGAAUAAGCAUCGGCUAACUCCGUGCCAGCAGCCGCGGUAAUACGGAGGAUGCGAGCGUUAUCCGGAUUUAUUGGGUUUAAAGGGUGCGUAGGCGGCAUUAUAAGUUAGUGGUAAAAUAUUGGGGCUUCACCUCACUACGCCAUUAAUACUGUAGAGCUAGAGAACAGACGAGGUAGGCGGAAUAAGUUAAGUAGCGGUGAAAUGCAUAGAUAUAACUUAGAACACCGAUAGCGAAGGCAGCUUACCAGACUGAGUCUGACGCUGAUGCACGAGAGCAUGGGUAGCGAACAGGAUUAGAUACCCUGGUAGU
Molecule: ribosomal RNA, 700 nt
Filed under: uncultured bacterium
Lineage: Bacteria
Description: bacterial SSU rRNA
Rfam family: Bacterial small subunit ribosomal RNA
Source: RNAcentral